This 22-nucleotide non-coding RNA is filed under the name Arabidopsis thaliana (thale cress). The record is from RNAcentral. Lineage: Eukaryota; Viridiplantae; Streptophyta; Magnoliopsida; Brassicales; Brassicaceae.
UGUGCUUGUUUUACGCGUUUGC